RNAcentral lists this ribosomal RNA (320 nucleotides) under uncultured eukaryote. Its description in RNAcentral is "partial 18S ribosomal RNA". It matches the Rfam family "Eukaryotic small subunit ribosomal RNA", at positions 1470 to 1796 of the family's 1831-position model. The record is from RNAcentral.
CCCCUAGAUGUUCUGGGCCGCACGCGCGCUACACUGAACAGUUCAACAAGUCUUAACCUUGGCCGAUAGGUCUGGGUAAUCUUUGAACGCUGUUCGUGAUUGGGAUACACCUUUGCAAUUAUGGGUCUUCAACGAGGAAUUCCUAGUAAACGCAAGUCAUCAGCUUGCAUUGAUUACGUCCCUGCCCUUUGUACACACCGCCCGUCGCACCUACCGAUUGAAUGGUCCGGUGAAAUCUCGGGACGGCGGCUUGGUCGCUUGCGUCCGACUGCUGAAACUUGAUUAAACCAUAUCAUUUAGAGGAAGGUGAAGUCGUAACA